CGAAGAAGAAAAUUUAGUAAAUAAUAAUAAUACUAGUAAUAAUAGUGAUAUUAACGAUAAUAAUAGCAAUGUUCCUAUUGCGUUAAAACGUCCAUUUCCUGGAUCUUAUCAUGAGAAUCUCCUACGGAAGUCUACAUCAACAAUUCCACAACCAACUGAUGAUAUAGUGAAUACAACAGUUAGGCCUACAAUUAGUCCAGGUGUCAGCGUUGAACCGGGUGAUGAUAGAGUGGCCAGAAUUAUGGUCACCAUGAACAAACUGAACCGAACUUCGGAUACCACGGAUUUCGCCAGAAAUACUGUACCAGUUAAGGAUCAAACGGCCACAGAUCCUACAGUUAAGAAAACUGAAGCUCCAUGGAAAAGUAUUAGGAAACCGAACCAUGAUUUUAAGAAUAAGUUGCGAGGAGAUCGUACGAAAUCAGGCGGCGGCCCACCCGGACCGGAUGCUUCCAUGCUGGUCUACAACGCUUUCACACCACAACUAAUCGAACCAACCACUGAACGCCAUGCACCACUACCCACUGAAUCAAGAAAGAGCUAUCAAUCUGUC
This 553-nucleotide small RNA is filed under the name Triatoma infestans. RNAcentral describes it as "partial uncharacterized ncRNA". The record is from RNAcentral. Lineage: Eukaryota; Metazoa; Arthropoda; Insecta; Hemiptera; Reduviidae.